RNAcentral lists this transfer RNA (69 nucleotides) under Bos taurus (domestic cattle). It matches the Rfam family "tRNA". From Rfam's summary of the family: Transfer RNA (tRNA) molecules are approximately 80 nucleotides in length. Their secondary structure includes four short double-helical elements and three loops (D, anti-codon, and T loops). Further hydrogen bonds mediate the characteristic L-shaped molecular structure. tRNAs have two regions of fundamental functional importance: the anti-codon, which is responsible for specific mRNA codon recognition, and the 3' end, to which the tRNAs corresponding amino acid is attached (by aminoacyl-tRNA synthetases). tRNAs cope with the degeneracy of the genetic code in two manners: having more than one tRNA (with a specific anti-codon) for a particular amino acid; and 'wobble' base-pairing, i.e. permitting non-standard base-pairing at the 3rd anti-codon position. Lineage: Eukaryota; Metazoa; Chordata; Mammalia; Artiodactyla; Bovidae. The record is from Rfam by way of RNAcentral. RNAcentral also lists the same sequence under 5 other names.
CCUGAUGGCUUAGAUAGUAAAGAGUCUGCCUGCAAUGCAGGAGACUCAGGUUCAAUCCCUGGGUCAGGA